AAAUACACAACGCAAAAAUUCACAUUCUCGGGAUAGAAUUUGAUACGAGGUACUCCUUCGCCUCGGUGUUGGACGUACCCAGGACUGUUGAACUCUCCCGGACAGAAUGGAGAUCAGACACACAGCGAACGAUCUUGGGUGCGGCGUGUCCCUCGCCUUCAAGGUAUGGGAUGGGCCGCAAUGAUUGAGCGUACAU
Molecule: small RNA, 196 nt
Filed under: Diaporthe ampelina
Lineage: Eukaryota; Fungi; Ascomycota; Sordariomycetes; Diaporthales; Diaporthaceae
Description: A. fumigatus sRNA Afu_182
Rfam family: A. fumigatus sRNA Afu_182
Source: Rfam by way of RNAcentral